RNAcentral lists this non-coding RNA (85 nucleotides) under bacterium SCGC AG-212-C10. RNAcentral's name for it is "c-di-GMP-I-GGC riboswitch aptamer". It matches the Rfam family "c-di-GMP-I-GGC riboswitch aptamer". The record is from Rfam by way of RNAcentral. RNAcentral also lists the same sequence under 1 other name.
GUCGAAAAAGGCAAACCGGGGGCAACCCCGGGACGCAAAGCCACGGGUCCUGUUCGCAACCCACAGGAUAGCCGGGUCGCCGAAA